Molecule: long non-coding RNA, 509 nt
Filed under: Equus caballus (horse)
Lineage: Eukaryota; Metazoa; Chordata; Mammalia; Perissodactyla; Equidae
Description: lncRNA (ENSECAG00000051107.1)
Source: RNAcentral
GCUCUAGUUCCAGGAGAUUGAGGAAGAGAAGGGGCAGUCUAAGGGAGAGGAAGAGGUGCCGUAUUGAACACAGGUGUCACAGUCAGAGGAAAGGGGGUUGCGGGCACUGACUCUGCAGAUGGGAAAGAUAUGGCUGGUGACUGGAUAUUUGGCUUAGAGACCAGCCCCAACCACUUUCCUUCUACCUUUAACUAAGAGCAAGGCUCAAAGCAUGGGAGAAAAUCUUGAGAGGGAUGAUUGUAACAUGAAAUGAGGAGCACACUGAAGCAUUUCGGGGUGAAGGGCCAUCAUAUCUGCAGCUUCUUCUCAAACAGUUGAGGGAAAAAGUAAUGUAUAUACAUAUUGAGAGAGAGAGAAAAGAAGCAUCGCGGUGAAAUGGUUUAUUCAAUGAGGUGAAUUCUCCAAGGGACCCUGAACAGCGACUUUCUCUUCCCAUCAUUGUCUUCAAUUUUACUGUUGAAGACCUCCUUUUCCAGACAUCAGCAACCAUCCAGGUAGACCCCAUGGUC